CCUAUAAAAACCCAUCAACAGAACAAAGUAAAAAAAUACAUUUUGGUACUUAAGAUUUGAAAUCAUAGGACUCAUCACAAAACUGCAUCUGAAAACAAUAAAAAGAAACAGAAUCAAAACCAUGGAAACCUUCCAAGGACUCAUAUUUUACACAGAGUCAAGAGAGACUAGAGAUCAAUUUUUGAAUUUUUUUUCUUCCUUUUAUCUUAAUGUGAGAAGUUGCAUUUUUGCUUUAGAACAGGAGCAUUUGUAAACAAGAAUUAUUUGGAGAAAUCAGAAUCAUUCAAGGAAAAAUGUUAUGCUAUUAUGAUUGAAGGAGUGCUGCAUUUUCCUAGGCUUCAUUUAUGGGAGGGUUAAAGAAAUCCUUACAGUAACUUAGAAUUUUUUUCUUUCAGACAUUCUGUUCACCUUAUUUGUUACCCAGAACAGAUCAGAUCUCAGCUUUUUCAGUCUUCAAUUACUGACUGAUGCACAGGAAUAAUCACACUGCAGACAACAGAAAUUAAUUAAUGCUAAGUACCUUCCUACCAGAACUCACAGCUAGAAGCUGCCAGAAGAUUAUUUUGACCUAAUACGCACUGGAAAAAAGCUUCUUCUGUUCAGCUAAAAUAAAUGGUACCAAUUUCAAGGCCAGUUUCCAUAUUGGUCUUCCUGUCUACGAUCUCUGUCGUUACUUUUCGCUGUGGAAAUAACAUUACUGCAGCACAUAAGCACUAAUGAUAUACACUAGAGAGAAAUACUCAGAUGCAUACUAGAAAAUGAGAUGUUCCUUCCAAACACAUUCCAAUAUCUUAUUGAAAAA
Aquila chrysaetos chrysaetos is the source of this 802-nucleotide long non-coding RNA. RefSeq lists it as uncharacterized. The transcript has 2 exons. The record is from RefSeq and is a predicted model, not a curated record. Lineage: Eukaryota; Metazoa; Chordata; Aves; Accipitriformes; Accipitridae.